UAUAGUGACCCAGCCUAUGGUGCCCGGAAGGGUUUUAGAGGGAAUGCGGUGCGACGAAUUCUAUCGUUUAACCCGCGGCUGCCCCCGCAACUGUAAGCGGAAAGUCUUUGCCCAAAACGGCCGUUCGGCCGUCAAGCCACUGGAGAAAUCCGGGAAGGCGGGUAAAGGCGUCCGAUCCGCGAGCCAGGAGACCUGCCAGAGGCGGCAAAGAACG
This 214-nucleotide non-coding RNA is filed under the name Rhizobium sp. The record is from RNAcentral. Lineage: Bacteria; Pseudomonadati; Pseudomonadota; Alphaproteobacteria; Hyphomicrobiales; Rhizobiaceae.